AUACGGAGGGUGCAAGCGUUAAUCGGAAUUACUGGGCGUAAAGCGCACGCAGGCGGUCUGUCAAGUUGGAUGUGAAAUCCCCGGGCUCAACCUGGGAACUGCAUUCGAAACUGGCAGGCUAGAGUCUUGUAGAGGGGGGUAGAAUUCCAGGUGUAGCGGUGAAAUGCGUAGAGAUCUGGAGGAAUACCGGUGGCGAAGGCGGCCCCCUGGACAAAGGGUGACGCUCAGGUGCGAAAGCGUGGGGAGCAAACAGGAUUAGAUACCGGGUAGUCCACGCCGUAAACGAUGUCGAUUUGGAGGUUGUGCCCUUGAGGCGGGGCUUCCGGAGCUAACGCGUUAAAUCGACCGCCUGGGGAGUACGGCCGCAAGGUUAAAACUCAAAUGAAUUGACGGGG
Molecule: ribosomal RNA, 395 nt
Filed under: uncultured bacterium
Lineage: Bacteria
Description: partial 16S ribosomal RNA
Rfam family: Bacterial small subunit ribosomal RNA
Source: RNAcentral